RNAcentral lists this ribosomal RNA (447 nucleotides) under uncultured bacterium. RNAcentral's name for it is "bacterial SSU rRNA". It matches the Rfam family "Bacterial small subunit ribosomal RNA", at positions 331 to 795 of the family's 1533-position model. The record is from RNAcentral.
CCAGACUCCUACGGGAGGCAGCAGUGGGGAAUAUUGCACAAUGGGGGAAACCCUGAUGCAGCGACGCCGCGUGAAGGAAGAAGUAUUUCGGUAUGUAAACUUCUAUCAGCAGGGAAGAAAAUGACGGUACCUGACUAAGAAGCCCCGGCUAACUACGUGCCAGCAGCCGCGGUAAUACGUAGGGGGCAAGCGUUAUCCGGAUUUACUGGGUGUAAAGGGAGCGUAGACGGCCAUGCAAGCUCGGUGUGAAAGGUGCGGGCACAACCCGCAGACUGCACUGAGAACUGUAUGGCUGGAGUGCCGGAGGGGCAGGCGGAAUUCCUGGUGUAGCGGUGAAAUGCGUAGAUAUUAGGAAGAACACCAGUGGCGAAGGCGGCUUUCUGGACUGAAACUGACGCUGAGGCACGAAAGCGUGGGGAGCGAACAGGAUUAGAUACCCCGGUACCC